AUUUUUGUAGUUGAUUAACAACGGUGGUUUUUCGUGCCGCAAGUCUCUGAGGAGCAAAAAUU
This 62-nucleotide transfer RNA is filed under the name Hypsiglena sp. 1 DGM-2008. RNAcentral's name for it is "tRNA-Glu". RNAcentral also lists the same sequence under 1 other name. Lineage: Eukaryota; Metazoa; Chordata; Lepidosauria; Squamata; Dipsadidae. The record is from RNAcentral.